GAACGCGAAGAACCUUACCCGGGCUUGAACUGCCGGUGUCGGUAUGAGAGAUCAUGCUUUCCUUCGGGACACUGGUGGAGGUGCUGCAUGGUUGUCGUCAGCUCGUGCCGUGAGGUGUCGGCUUAAGUGCCAUAACGAGCGCAACCCCUGUCGUCAGUUGCCAUCAGGUAAUGCUGGGCACUCUGGAGAUACUGCCACCGUAAGGUGUGAGGAAGGUGGGGAUGACGUCAAAUCAGCACGGCCCUUACGUCCGGGGCUACACACGUGUUACAAUGGCGUGUACAGCGAGUCGGUACCGGGCAACCGGUAUCCAAUCAAGAAAACACGUCUCAGUUCGGACUGGGGUCUGCAACCCGACCCCACGAAGCUGGAUUCGCUAGUAAUCGCGCAUCAGCCAUGGCGCGGUGAAUACGUUCCCGGGUCUUGUACACACC
Molecule: ribosomal RNA, 434 nt
Filed under: uncultured bacterium
Lineage: Bacteria
Description: bacterial SSU rRNA
Rfam family: Bacterial small subunit ribosomal RNA
Source: RNAcentral